CACAUGUCUGAGCACACAUAAGGGACUCUGUGAAUAUGUGUGUAUUUGUUGUGUGCAUGCCCGCAGAAUGGGAUACAGAGACUCACUCUAUUCAUCAGGGAUUUGUUUUAAUCAGGAAUUGGCAGGCAUGGGAAGAGCACGCUGUCCAGGGUCGGCAAGGCCUGGAAAUGUCAGAGCAUCAGAAUACUGAAAAUAAAAGACAUGGUUAAAUCUAUUUUGGUGGCGAGGCUGGGGACACUGGGAAUAUGAUACUGAUCAAUCUAGAAUGUGUGGAGGAGUGGACAGCAGUUUUUAAUCAGACAAGACCUUCAACCCCGGCACAGACCAUCAAUUGGCAGGUGUUAAAACAGACCAAAAUGUGUUCUCCCGCCCAGAAGCAAGCAAAGCCAACCCCAGCUGCAGUUCCCUGACAGUCCAGUGAAUUCAGCCAAAGGAAAUGGCCCCACAUGGAGGGCAAGUGACAGAAGACCUGAUGACUCCGGUGGCUCAGCGGAGAGUGCAUUAAUAGGCUUGACCACUUCUGCUCGAUCUUCAGGCAAGCUGGGUCUGACCCCUGGACACUGUCCCCUGGAGCCCCUGGCCUCCACGUGUCCACCCACUGCCAUGGUCAUGGCUCCUCAGCAGGAGGAGGCCCAGCAGCCUCCAGGUGCCCCUGCCUGGUGCUAGCUGCCCACCGAAGCUCUAGCCUCACACUCUCAGGUUCAAAUCCAGCGACAAGAGCGGAUCCCACAAAGGCCACGAGAGUCACCCUAAACGAAGGGGAAGCGGAGGCAGGAGGAUGCAGCAAGACCUGUUCCCUCCUCUAACGGCACUCAUAGGACAGCCCAGCCACACAUUCAAAGAAUCUUGAAGGAAUAGGAUGGUUGGUAUGGUUGGUGUGGAAGAAGGUUCAUAAAUUCUGGAUUUAGCUUUGUGGGAUUCAGCUGACCUGAAAUUUAUACCUGUGCAGGUAGGUGGUUGCUGGGUAGGGUGACCACUACUGUCUCUCUCCAUCACCCAGGGCUGUUUUCAGCUCAAAGCCACAGAAGCCCAGGCAUGGUGGCAUCUCCGGGGGAAGUUGCCUUAUUCCAGAUUCACAGGUCCGGGGCGAAGGGGCCAGGCAGGGCAGGUGUGGGGCGGCAGGAUAUCGCCCUGGGCCUGGCUCCUUCUGCCUUUCUGCCACCAUCUUCAGCGGUGCCAUUACCUCGAGGCCUUCUGUGGUUGCUGGAGCUGCCACGCUCGGCCUCCUGUCUGCCUCCAGAUGGGAGAGGAGGAAGGAGGAGGUGAGAGCAGGAAAGAGCUUACAUAAAAGACCACAUUUUCCCAGAAUCCCCAGCAGCUGCCUGUUCUCCCCCUCCACUGGGCUAGAGCUGUGUCACACAGGCUGAGCGGCCAGGAAGCUGGGCACCAUCCAGGGAGUGUGUGAUCGUCGGGGUCCUGUUGAUUCCUGCUUUUGAGUAAUGAAGGUGACCAAACCACAUGACCCUGUCUGCAAAGAUUCCACCUGGACUCCCAGUUCCUCCAAGGAACCGUCAUGUGGUUCAAAUCCAAUGAAAUUCUCUAAAUCUCCACCCUCCUCAGGGUGCAGAGUUGGCUGCUUCUCUGUGCCCCCUGCUGAUCACGGCAACCCCUGGGUGCCUCGGCCUGCGAAGCCCCAGCUGUCCUCCGUCUGCAGACAAGCCGAGGUAUGAAAGCCUCCUCGCUGGCCCAGGAGCCUGUCAUUGUCCUCCAGCAGCUCUAGCCUGGAUGCGGUCCCAGAGAUAAAUCAUAUCUCUUUAAAAAGCCACAGUGGCCCAUUAUUUCUGCUUGAAAAUACCCCUGGCUCUCUGCUGGUGAGCUGGUUGACAGGCCCCGGCUGUUGUGCUCAGUGCUGCAAAGAGUCACGUCAGUCUGUCGACUUGUGUAGUGAGCAAGCUGGUAGCUUCAGAUGGUAUGCACAUGAAAUCCCGUCCUGGCAUCCAGGACUUGGCUGGGGGUUGCAGAGAGAACCACAUCUGCAAAAGAGUUGGUAUUUUACAGUCCCAGCCUCACGUCCUUGUGAAAUGCCCUGUUCAUACUGGGCUACAGGGGCGGGAGCAAAAAUGAUACAAUGACAAUUCCUGGGCUGUGUUCUGCAAUAUUCUACAACACUUCCACAAGAAAACUCCAAUCUUUAAAAAUAGACUGAGCACAAUUAAACAAUCACUAUAGAUAUUUCUUUUCUUUUUUUUUUUUUUGAGAUGGAGUCUCAC
This 2210-nucleotide long non-coding RNA is filed under the name Homo sapiens (human). Its description in RNAcentral is "HSALNT0401385". Lineage: Eukaryota; Metazoa; Chordata; Mammalia; Primates; Hominidae. The record is from RNAcentral.